RNAcentral lists this ribosomal RNA (535 nucleotides) under uncultured Sneathiella sp. RNAcentral describes it as "bacterial SSU rRNA". It matches the Rfam family "Bacterial small subunit ribosomal RNA", at positions 347 to 900 of the family's 1533-position model. Lineage: Bacteria; Pseudomonadati; Pseudomonadota; Alphaproteobacteria; Sneathiellales; Sneathiellaceae. The record is from RNAcentral.
GGCAGCAGUGGGGAAUAUUGGACAAUGGGGGAAACCCUGAUUCAGCCAUGCCGCGUGAGUGAAGAAGGCCUUAGGGUUGUAAAGCUCUUUCACCAGGGAAGAUAAUGACGGUACCUGGAGAAGAAGCCCCGGCUAACUCCGCGCCAGCAGCCGCGGUAAGACGGAGGGGGCUAGCGUUGUUCGGAAUUACUGGGCGUAAAGCGUGCGUAGGCGGCGUGCCAAGUUGGAUGUGAAAGCCCAGGGCUCAACCUUGGAAUUGCAUUCAAAACUGGCAUGCUUGAGAGCGGAAGAGGUGAGUGGAACUCCCAGUGUAGAGGUGAAAUUCGUAGAUAUUGGGAAGAACACCGGUGGCGAAGGCGGCUCACUGGUCCGUUUCUGACGCUGAGGCACGAAAGCGUGGGGAGCAAACAGGAUUAGAUACCCUGGUAGUCCACGCCGUAAACGAUGAGUGCUAGAUGUUGGGGGGCAUGCCCUUCAGUGUCGCAGCUAACGCAUUAAGCACUCCGCCUGGGGAGUACGGCCGCAAGGUUAAAAC